UUCUGAAGCGGCUCUCCAGGGCAGAUCUUCCGAGCGACCCGCCCUAUGUUAGAAAUAGCAAAAUCCAAUAAUAACAACACUCCACAAAAAAGAAAAAAACAAAAGAAAAAAAAGUGUCAACUUUGAUCACGCAUGCUCCCUUGUCAGGCACCUUAUACACAACAUUUGUUCUAACUUAGAAAGUCGCGGGAAAGCCAGGAAGUAACGUUACAGUAAGCCAAUCAGUUGAGGGGAAACAUCUCAUGUUUAAAAUGCCUGUGAUAUCAGAGAGAAGCUGUUUGGACUCUCAUUCUGAUGGCACCCAUUCACUGCAGAGGAUCCACUGGUGAGCAAGUGAUGUAAUGCAAAAUUUCUUCCAUAUCUGUUCUGUUUACUUGGUUCAGUCAAAAACAAAGAUUUAUUUGAGGUUUUGCUGAUUUACUGCUAGUGUCUAGGAGCU
Carassius auratus (goldfish) is the source of this 439-nucleotide long non-coding RNA. RefSeq lists it as uncharacterized. The record is from RefSeq and is a predicted model, not a curated record. The transcript has 3 exons. Lineage: Eukaryota; Metazoa; Chordata; Actinopteri; Cypriniformes; Cyprinidae.